Cydia splendana is the source of this 921-nucleotide long non-coding RNA. RefSeq lists it as uncharacterized. The transcript has 3 exons. The record is from RefSeq and is a predicted model, not a curated record. NCBI's taxonomy places the organism in Eukaryota, Metazoa, Arthropoda, Insecta, Lepidoptera, Tortricidae.
GACUGAGCAAUUUACUGUUCAAGAAGGAAAUGUUAAUCCUAAUUGUUCAUUUCUCAAGAGGUGGUUUGGCCAGUUACUUUUCAGCGAUAAGUGUGUAGUAUGCACUAAAACAAAAAAGAUUGGGACGAAAUACCGCCCUUUAAAAUCGUACGAGUGUGAACCAGGCACAUGUGUUGAAAAAAAGGAUUACUUGGCCUCUUUCAUAAAAUUUUGUAAGGAACACAAAUGUGAUCAUAAAAAAAAGCAAAGCAAAGAAAGAAGUAAGGCAAAGAAGAAACAAAGAAGAAAGAGGGAAAAAAGAAUGCGCGAGAAAGUCAAAGGUACAGGCCUUUCGAGUUUUAUUACUUCAGUAUUUAAGAACCCAGAAGAAGAUGACUAUACACAAAAGUUGUUGCCCAAUGAAGGAAAAAGAAAGUACAAGAAGGAAAAGGAAAAAAAGGACGGUAAAGACAAAGAAAGAAAGGCACGAACGAGGCAACGAGGAAAGGAAAAAAAGGACGAUAAAGAUACAGAAAAAGAAACAAAGGGGCAGAAACGUUUGGAGGAUACAGCAAAGAAAACAUUAGCAACAACCAGACGUGGUUAUAGAAGACUCACUAGAAGAAUUAGAGAGAGAUACAAUCGUAAUAAAAAACUCGCGCAAGGGCAACAAGGGCAAUAUGCCUGCGAUUUCUACUUAAUGUCCUUAAGAGCAAAACCUUGUUUGUGGGUGUAUUAUAUGUGUCCAAUGUGCUAUCCGUACUGUUUGCAACUGCUGAAUAUAUGGAGGCAAGUGUCAGAUCUUUUGCUGUUCUUCGUGGCGAUUAUAGUGUGGAGUCCGUGCAUCCUCUGCGCUGAAUGUCUCAAGGUGGUAGCCUGUAACAUGUGUGUGUCCUGACUAAAUUGUCACUUGUGUUUAAUUAAAUUGCGUGAGUUAAUGUU